RNAcentral lists this ribosomal RNA (460 nucleotides) under uncultured bacterium. RNAcentral describes it as "partial 16S ribosomal RNA". It matches the Rfam family "Bacterial small subunit ribosomal RNA", at positions 338 to 795 of the family's 1533-position model. The record is from RNAcentral.
CCUACGGGUGGCAGCAGUGAGGAAUAUUGGUCAAUGGGCGCAAGCCUGAACCAGCCACGCCGCGUGAAGGAAGACUGCCCUACGGGUUGUAAACUUCUUUUAUAAAGGAGUAAAGUGAGGCACGUGUGCCUUUUUGUAUGUACUUUAUGAAUAAGGAUCGGCUAACUCCGUGCCAGCAGCCGCGGUAAUACGGAGGAUCCGAGCGUUAUCCGGAUUUAUUGGGUUUAAAGGGCGCGUAGAUGGGUUGUUAAGUCAGUUGUGAAGGUUUGGGGCUCAACCGUAAAAUUGCAAUUGAUACUGGCAGUCUUGAGUACAGGUGAGGUAGGCGGAAUUCGUGGUGUAGCGGUGAAAUGCUUAGAUAUCACGAAGAACUCCGAUUGCGAAGGCAGCUUACUAAACUGCCACUGACAUUGAUGCUCGAAAGUGUGGGUAGCAAACAGGAUUAGAUACCCUUGUAGUC